Molecule: ribosomal RNA, 206 nt
Filed under: uncultured bacterium
Lineage: Bacteria
Description: partial 16S ribosomal RNA
Rfam family: Bacterial small subunit ribosomal RNA
Source: RNAcentral
UGCGUAGGUGGCCGGGUAAGUCUGAUGUGAAAUCUCCGAGCCUAACUCGGAAACUGCAUCGGAUACUAUUCGGCUGGAGGGUUGGGAGGGGGGACUGGAAUACUUGGUGUAGCAGUGAAAUGCGUAGAUAUCAAGUGGAACACCAGUGGCGAAGGCGAGUCCCUGGACAACUCCUGACACUGAGGCACGAAAGCUGGGAGCAAACA